CAUUAGUGGGAACAAUUUCUGACUACUUUUGAAAAUUACGAGCUCUCUGCUGCUGCCGUGCUGUGUGUAGCCGUUUCAAACUUAUUCCCUAUGCACUUUGGCCCCCUCCCCGCCCCCCUCUUUCCUUUUCUUUCUCGUAAUUCGUGCACCUCGGGAAAACCCCUCUUCUUAAACCCUCACAAAUCUUCAAAACAAGAACUAGUCUUCACUGUUGAAAACUCAGUGUCUUUAAUGGUAGUACAAGACAUAUAAAGAAGAAAGAACAAAGCUUAAAGCUUUAAGUUUUUUUUUUCUUUUCAAGAAGAGAGAGAGUGUGUGUGUGUGUGUUAAAAUCAGUUUGACUAAUUAGGGUUUGUUUGGACCAACUCUAAGUUCUUGGCUAUGGCAUUACUGCUACUGCAUUUUUCAGGCAGGUGUUUUUUUCCUCAAGAAAGGUUAGAUAGAGAAGUAGGAGCAGAGCUUGUUUCGGAGUUUUUGACGUGUUCAACUGUUAAACCUGGUUGAAUAUUCUGUUCCUUGUGCUUUUCUGGAACAUGUGAACUUUUGUAAGUACAUUGUUCCUUAAGUAGGGAAUGAAGCCAUCGGUCCGCGAAGCAUAUCAAGCUUUGUAUCAUAUUUUGACAAUAGUAGCAAUUAUUCAUAGUGGAUGAAGUAUUUUUUCUUGCAUAUAUAAGCUACUCAGGUUUAUAUUUUCUGAGUUUUGAUCAAUCUGUUACCAUUCAAACUUCAAUGAAAGUCUAAUGCUCAAUUAGUUUGAAUGUC
This is a long non-coding RNA of Solanum dulcamara, 762 nucleotides long. RefSeq lists it as uncharacterized. The transcript has 2 exons. The record is from RefSeq and is a predicted model, not a curated record. Lineage: Eukaryota; Viridiplantae; Streptophyta; Magnoliopsida; Solanales; Solanaceae.